Molecule: ribosomal RNA, 526 nt
Filed under: uncultured bacterium
Lineage: Bacteria
Description: bacterial SSU rRNA
Rfam family: Bacterial small subunit ribosomal RNA
Source: RNAcentral
AAUAGAUACCCGGGUAGUCCACGCCGUAAACGAUGGAUGCUAGCUGUUAUAGGUAUCGACCCCUGUAGUAGCGAAGCUAACGCGUUAAGCAUCCCGCCUGUGGAGUACGAGCGCAAGCUUAAAACAUAAAGGAAUUGACGGGGACCCGCACAAGCGGUGGAGCGUGUUGUUUAAUUCGAUGAUAAGCGAAGAACCUUACCCAGGCUUGACAUCCCUGGAAGGUCUCCGAAAGGAGACUGUGCCUUCGGGAAUCAGGUGACAGGUGCUGCAUGGCCGUCGUCAGCUCGUGUCGUGAGAUGUUUGGUUAAGUCCAUCAACGAGCGCAACCCUUAUAGUUAGUUGGAUUUCUCUAGCUAGACUGCCCUGGCAACAGGGAGGAAGGAGGGGAUGAUGUCAGGUCAGUAUUGCCCUUAGCCUGGGGCUACAAACACGCUACAAUGGCCGGUACAAAGGGCUGCCAACCCGCAAGGGGGAGCAAAUCCCAUCAAAGCCGGUCUCAGUUCGGAUAGCAGGCUGAAACUGCCUG